AUUGAACGCUGGCGGCAGGCCUAACACAUGCAAGUCGAGCGGAUGAAGGGAGCUUGCUCCUGGAUUCAGCGGCGGACGGGUGAGUAAUGCCUAGGAAUCUGCCUGGUAGUGGGGGAUAACGUCCGGAAACGGGCGCUAAUACCGCAUACGUCCUGAGGGAGAAAGUGGGGGAUCUUCGGACCUCACGCUAUCAGAUGAGCCUAGGUCGGAUUAGCUAGUUGGUGGGGUAAAGGCCUACCAAGGCGACGAUCCGUAACUGGUCUGAGAGGAUGAUCAGUCACCCUGGAACGGAGAACGGGUCAAAACCCCUAGGGGAGGAAGGGGGGGGGAAUAUUGGAAAAGGGGGGAAAGCCUGAUCCAGCCAGUCCGGGGUGGUGAAGAAGGUCUUCGGAUUUUAAAGCACUUUAAGUUGGGAGGAAGGGCAUUAAGUUAAUACCUUGCUGUUUUGACGUUACCAAAAGAAUAAGCACCGGCUAACUUCGU
RNAcentral lists this ribosomal RNA (483 nucleotides) under uncultured bacterium. RNAcentral describes it as "partial 16S ribosomal RNA". It matches the Rfam family "Bacterial small subunit ribosomal RNA", at positions 30 to 506 of the family's 1533-position model. The record is from RNAcentral.